GUAACAACAGUAUUAUUACAGCUAUAGUUCAAAACGCCAAGUGAUUGGGAGAUGAUAAAAGAAAGAAACUAGGGUAUGGUGCGCUGCUGGAGAGGCAAUGCUCCCAAGGCUUGGCGUUCUGCUUUCUCCCUCUCGACCUGCAGUCUUGAGAAAGAUACUCAUGUUUCAUGGACAAAUCCAUAGCACGUAACAGACGCUGGUUUCUGGCAUCAACAAUCUCACGAGGCA
RNAcentral lists this long non-coding RNA (228 nucleotides) under Helianthus annuus (common sunflower). RNAcentral's name for it is "sRNA HanXRQr2_Chr06g0265731". The record is from RNAcentral. Lineage: Eukaryota; Viridiplantae; Streptophyta; Magnoliopsida; Asterales; Asteraceae.